ACACACGCUACAAUGGAAGGGACAAUAGGUUGCGAAGCCGCGAGGCGGAGCCAAUCCAGCAAAACUUCCCUCAGUUCAGAUUGCAGGCUGCAACUCGCCUGCAUGAAGUCGGAGUUGCUAGUAAACGCAGGUCAGCCAUACUGCGUUGAAUACGUUCCCGGGCUU
This 165-nucleotide ribosomal RNA is filed under the name uncultured Anaerolineaceae bacterium. RNAcentral's name for it is "partial 16S ribosomal RNA". It matches the Rfam family "Bacterial small subunit ribosomal RNA", at positions 1218 to 1381 of the family's 1533-position model. Lineage: Bacteria; Bacillati; Chloroflexota; Anaerolineae; Anaerolineales; Anaerolineaceae. The record is from RNAcentral.